Gavia stellata (red-throated loon) is the source of this 579-nucleotide long non-coding RNA. RefSeq lists it as uncharacterized. Lineage: Eukaryota; Metazoa; Chordata; Aves; Gaviiformes; Gaviidae. The record is from RefSeq and is a predicted model, not a curated record. The transcript has 3 exons.
CCCAAGAGCAGAAGCAGUGAGGUCCAUGAUGGGGAAAAUGAAUCCAGCAGUUCAUCCUAUCCUAUUCCUGCCUGAGUGCAGGAAGAGACCUGAUAGAAAGCCAGAAUGUAUCAGGGCUUGCAGCUCUUUUUAACCAUGUUAAGUCCUAUUCAGAGUUAAUGAUGACCUCAGUGAGACUGAUCUAAGCAAUGCUGAACAAGGGAAGAACAGAGUUGGAAGGCAGGAGCUAUUUCAAAGCAGGAUUCUUCUUCUUUCUGUAACAUCCAAACAUGACGACUUUAUACACUUCAUUAGAUCCUGCCGUCAAUGACUGAGCCUCCCUGAAUUCUUCUUAUCAGUUACUGCCGAGAUGAGAAGCAUAACAGGAAGGAGGAGUGCUGAAGUGGUUUUAAUGGCAGUUAAUUUUGUCUAUUUAUCAAAUGACAGGGUUUUUUUUCCUCAAAACUCGAUUGUCAUGACAAGAUGCUUUUGGAAGUCAUCUUUGUAAAAUAAAACUGUCAAUUUUUAGGCUACAAAGAGCUAUUGUAUCUUUCUAUACAAUGUUGUCAUUAUGGUAAACCGCUGGGAAGUCUUUAUUUU